CAGGAGCGUGGGAAGACUCCAGAAUCCACUCUGACUGGAAUCCGGUGGAUACAGCAGUGUUACAGAACAGUUCGCCACAGUCGCUGUCCACAUGGGUCAGUGGGACCAAGCAGCACUCUGCUAAUGUGAGACUCUGAUCAGCAACAUCCAGCAAGACCCAGACAGCGUUUUCUAUCUCCCAGCUGGAGUUUUUUGUUUGUCUGUGACUGGAGAGUCAGAUUUUUGUUGAAGCUGGAGGAACAGAGAGGUUAAUACACGCUACUGAUCCCUGAUGGGAGAAUCUUCACCUCUGCCAACAAAGAAGCCUGGUGGAUGUUUGUUUGCAGUCUGAUGAUGGGACAUCAUGCUCUGCAUCUUCAAAGUUUGUCUCUUGAUUAUUAUUCAUACACAGUAAUGUGAAGCAUGCUCAUAUCUAGUAUAACUGGACCAACGUGGUGCUCUUCAUUUAUGGAGGCUGUUGAGUCUGAAUGUUGGAUGUUGUGUAUCUCGUGUUCUCUGGGCUUUGUUGUCCUCAGUCUUUUUGCAGAAUCAGAAAACAAAACCAGGAGGCGCGUAAAUGUUUCUUCUCCAAUUGGAUGAUGAUAAGACCGUGAGGUCUGUCAGCGUGCUGAGGUCACAGAAACAAGAAAAGCAGCUUGACUUCAGAGUGUUGUUUACAGUUUUUUGUCAUCAUGAUCUCCCCUGAAGUUUAUCACUAUUAGGCAAGCAAGCAGAGCGGCACUUUGUGCUCACAGAUGGUGACGGUGUGGAGAGACGGUGGUGUUUCCUCAGAAGAACUAGCAGAGUCACCAAGGGCACGAGUCCAUCUCACCACCUUGACUUGUUGAUCAGUGGAUACACUUGUCUCCCCUUUAAAGGAGAUACUCUUAGAGAGAGACGAUCCGAGUCAUCCUUAAAUAUGGGCAGGAUAUCACUAUUAGACUGUCUAACCUGCCGGAGCAGCACUGAAUGAUCACCACACAUGAUCAGUUCCUACAACAUUCAGCAGCUCUGCUUUUGUGUCAAAUGUCCAACAACUGGAGAGGAAACUACACCAGUGUACUGGGAUGUUUCACCAACACGUGCCAGAUGCUGUUCCUUCAUGGUGACAUCACCAGAGACGGCCCCGCCCACCUCAUGACCUCGCCAUUGAUCAUGAUGAUUUUAAUGAUGACAGCGAGCGGAACUAAGACUGUAAAAAUCAGAAUGUUUAGAUGCUUUCUAAUUAUUAAUGAAUACUGAGAGCCUCUUUCUGUUUUGUCUGUUUGUUUGUUUUUACCUCAUUUGUUACUAACAAAGUUCACCAAACUCACACAGUUUACAUUCUGGAUGUUUCCAUCUUUACCAGCCACACUCUACCCGCAAUUAAGAAAAUAAUCCUUAGAAAUUGUCGUUUUUCUCUUUUGUAAUUGAUGAUAAUUCAGUGAAUAUACUGCGCUGCUUCCUUUUGUUUCGUCUCACAUUGCUAUAAGUUUUUCCAGUGUCCAGCUAUUUUUUACUGCUGUUUGAAUUCUCUGUAUGUUUGACCCUGUAGACUGUUUGAUGGACUGCUUGUCUUCCUGUUUGUAACCGCCGCCUGUUUUUGACUAAAGA
This is a long non-coding RNA of Oreochromis niloticus (Nile tilapia), 1572 nucleotides long. RefSeq lists it as uncharacterized. NCBI's taxonomy places the organism in Eukaryota, Metazoa, Chordata, Actinopteri, Cichliformes, Cichlidae. The transcript is spliced from 6 exons. The record is from RefSeq and is a predicted model, not a curated record.